CUGCUGCCUUCCGUAGGAGUCUGGGCCGUGUCUCAGUCCCAAUGUGGCCGUCCACCCUCUCAGGCCGGCUACUGAUCGUCGCCUUGGUGGGCCGUUACCCCGCCAACAAGCUAAUCAGACGCGGGUCCAUCUUACACCACCGGAGUUUUUCACACAAAUCCAUGCGGCUUCGUGCGCUUAUGCGGUAUUAGCACCUAUUUCUAAGUGUUAUCCCCCAGUGUAAGGCAGGUUACCCACGCGUUACUCACCCGUCCGCCACUAAG
Molecule: ribosomal RNA, 263 nt
Filed under: uncultured bacterium
Lineage: Bacteria
Description: partial 16S ribosomal RNA
Source: RNAcentral